RNAcentral lists this ribosomal RNA (252 nucleotides) under uncultured bacterium. RNAcentral describes it as "partial 16S ribosomal RNA". It matches the Rfam family "Bacterial small subunit ribosomal RNA", at positions 524 to 776 of the family's 1533-position model. The record is from RNAcentral.
UACGUAGGUCCCGAGCGUUGUCCGGAUUUAUUGGGCGUAAAGCGAGCGCAGGUGGUUUAUUAAGUCUGGUGUAAAAGGCAGUGGCUCAACCAUUGUAUGCAUUGGAAGCUGGUAGACUUGAGUGCAGGAGAGGAGAGUGGAAUUCCGUGUGUAGCGGUGAAAUGCGUAGAUAUAUGGAGGAACACCGGUGGCGAAAGCGGCUCUCUGGCCUGUAACUGACACUGAGGCUCGAAAGCGUGGGGAGCAAACAGG